RNAcentral lists this ribosomal RNA (394 nucleotides) under uncultured bacterium. Its description in RNAcentral is "bacterial SSU rRNA". It matches the Rfam family "Bacterial small subunit ribosomal RNA", at positions 28 to 426 of the family's 1533-position model. The record is from RNAcentral.
GACGAACGCUGGCGGCGUGCUUAACACAUGCAAGUCGAGCGGUAAGGCCCUUUCGGGGGUACACGAGCGGCGAACGGGUGAGUAACACGUGGGUGACCUGCCCUCAGCUCUGGGAUAAGCCUGGGAAACUGGGUCUAAUACCGGAUAUGACUUCGCAUCGCAUGGUGUGGGGUGGAAAGUUUUUCGGCUGGGGAUGGGCCCGCGGCCUAUCAGCUUGUUGGUGGGGUGAUGGCCUACCAAGGCGACGACGGGUAGCCGGCCUGAGAGGGCGACCGGCCACACUGGGACUGAGACACGGCCCAGACUCCUACGGGAGGGCAGCAGUGGGGAAGUAUUGCGCAAUGGGCGGAAGCCUGACGCAGCGACGCCGCGUGGGGAUGACGGCCUCGGUUGU